GGGGGGAGGCCGGAUCCUGGGCUCUGUCCCCCAGCGUCCUGGGCCCCAGGGGCCUGCACUGCUGGAAACACGCUCCCAGGGCCCAGUAGCCCCCU
This 95-nucleotide microRNA precursor is filed under the name Canis lupus familiaris (dog). Its description in RNAcentral is "mir-8799 microRNA precursor family". It matches the Rfam family "mir-8799 microRNA precursor family". Lineage: Eukaryota; Metazoa; Chordata; Mammalia; Carnivora; Canidae. RNAcentral also lists the same sequence under 1 other name. The record is from Rfam by way of RNAcentral.